GGGACCCUACGGGAGGCAGCAGUGGGGAAUAUUGCACAAUGGGCGCAAGCCUGAUGCAGCCAUGCCGCGUGUAUGAAAAAGGCUUCGGGUUGUAAAGUACUUUCAGCGGGGAGGAAGGUGUUGUGGUUAAUAACCACAGCAAUUGACGUUACCCGCAGAAGAAGCACCGCUG
This 172-nucleotide ribosomal RNA is filed under the name uncultured bacterium. RNAcentral's name for it is "partial 16S ribosomal RNA". It matches the Rfam family "Bacterial small subunit ribosomal RNA", at positions 332 to 498 of the family's 1533-position model. The record is from RNAcentral.